ACUCCUACGGGAGGCAGCAGUGGGGAAUCUUGCACAAUGGGCGAAAGCCUGAUGCAGCCAUGCCGCGUGAAUGAUGAAGGCCUUAGGGUUGUAAAAUUCUUUCGCUAGGGAUGAUAAUGACAGUACCUAGUAAAGAAGCCCCGGCUAACUCC
This 152-nucleotide ribosomal RNA is filed under the name uncultured Alphaproteobacteria bacterium. Its description in RNAcentral is "partial 16S ribosomal RNA". It matches the Rfam family "Bacterial small subunit ribosomal RNA", at positions 335 to 504 of the family's 1533-position model. Lineage: Bacteria; Pseudomonadati; Pseudomonadota; Alphaproteobacteria. The record is from RNAcentral.